UAGGGAAUCUUCCGCAAUGGACGAAAGUCUGACGGAGCAACGCCGCGUGAGUGAAGAAGGAUUUCGGUUCGUAAAACUCUGUUGUUAGGGAAGAAAAAAUGUAUAGUAACUAUAUACAAAAGAGACGGUACCUAACCAGAAAGCCACGGCUAACUACGUGCCAGCAGCCGCGGUAAUACGUAGGUGGCAAGCGUUGUCCGGAAUUAUUGGGCGUAAAGCGCGCGCAGGUGGUUUAGAAAGUCUGAUGUGAAAGCCCACGGCUCAACCGUGGAGGAUCAUUGGAAACUAAUAAACUUGAGUGCAGGAGAGAAAAGUGGAAUUCCUAGUGUAGCGGUGAAAUGCGUAGAGAUUAGGAGGAACACCGGUGGCGAAAGCGGCUUUUUGGCCUGCAACUGACACUGAGGCGCGAAAGCGUGGGGAGCAAACAGG
RNAcentral lists this ribosomal RNA (429 nucleotides) under Verrucomicrobiota bacterium. RNAcentral's name for it is "Verrucomicrobia bacterium partial 16S ribosomal RNA". It matches the Rfam family "Bacterial small subunit ribosomal RNA", at positions 355 to 776 of the family's 1533-position model. The record is from RNAcentral. Lineage: Bacteria; Pseudomonadati; Verrucomicrobiota.